This 465-nucleotide ribosomal RNA is filed under the name uncultured bacterium. RNAcentral's name for it is "partial 16S ribosomal RNA". It matches the Rfam family "Bacterial small subunit ribosomal RNA", at positions 28 to 507 of the family's 1533-position model. The record is from RNAcentral.
GACGAACGCUGGCGGCGUGCUUAACACAUGCGAGUCGAACGGAAAGGCCCCUUUGGGGGUCCUCGAGUGGCGAACGGGGGCGUAACACGUGAGUAACCUGCCCUUGACUUCGGGAUAACUUCAGGAAACUGGGGCUAAUACCGGAUAGGAAUCCUUGCUGCAUGGGGGGGGUUGGAAAGCUUCGGCGGUUUUGGAUGGACUCGCGGCUUAUCGGCUUGCUGGUGGGGUAGUGGCUUACCAAGGCUUUGACGGGUAGCCGGCCUGAGAGGGCGACCGGCCACAUUGGGACUGAGAGGCGGCCCAGACUCCUACUGGAGGCAGCAGUGGGGAAUAUUGCACGAUGGGCGGCAGCCUGAUGCAGCAACUCCGCGUGCGGGAUGACGGCCUUCGGGUUGUAAACCGCUUUCAGCAGGGGCGAAGCUUGUGGUGACGGUACCUGCAGAAGAAGCACCGGCUAACUACGUG